RNAcentral lists this ribosomal RNA (497 nucleotides) under uncultured bacterium. RNAcentral describes it as "partial 16S ribosomal RNA". It matches the Rfam family "Bacterial small subunit ribosomal RNA", at positions 28 to 507 of the family's 1533-position model. The record is from RNAcentral.
GAUGAACGCUGGCGGCGUGCCUAAUACAUGCAAGUCGAGCGAACGGACGAGAAGCUUGCUUCUCUGAUGUUAGCGGCGGACGGGUGAGUAACACGUGGAUAACCUACCUAUAAGACUGGGAUAACUUCGGGAAACCGGAGCUAAUACCGGAUAAUAUUUUGAACGGCAUGGUUCAAAAGUGAAAGACGGUCUUGCUGUCACUUAUAGAUGGAUCCGCGCUGCAUUAGCUAGUUGGUAAGGUAACGGCCUACCAAGGCAACGAUGCAUAGCCGACCUGAGAGGGUGAUCAGCCACACUGGAACUGAGACACGGUCCAGACUCCUACGGGAGGCAGCAGUAGGGAAUCUUCCGCAAUGGGCGAAAGCCUGACGGAGCAACGCCGCGUGAGUGAUGAAGGUCUUCGGAUCGUAAAACUCUGUUAUUAGGGAAGAACAUAUGUGUAAGUAACUGUGCACAUCUUGACGGUACCUAAUCAGAAAGCCACGGCUAACUUCGUG